AGGGUUUGAUCAUGGCUCAGAACGAACGCUGGCGGCAUGCCUAACACAUGCAAGUCGAACGGUAACAGGUCUUCGGAUGCUGACGAGUGGCGCACGGGUGAGUGACGCGUGGAUAUCUGCCUAUUAGUGGGGGACAACUUGUGGAAACGCAAGCUAAUACCGCAUAAUCUCUACGGAGCAAAGCAGGGGACCCUUCGGGGCCUUGUGCUGAUAUAUGAGUCCGCGUCAGAUUAGCUAGUUGGUGGGGUAAGAGCCUACCAAGGCGAUGAUCUGUAGCUGGUUUGAGAGGAUGAUCAGUCACACUGGAACUGAGACACGGUCCAGACUCCUACGGGAGGCAGCAGUGGGGAAUUUUGCACAAUGGGCGCAAGCCUGAUGCAGCGAUGCCGCGUGUGGGAAGAAGGCCUUUGGGUUGUAAACCACUUUCAAUUGGGAAGAAGAGAUGAGAGUUAAUAACUCUCUGAUUUGACGGUACCUUUAGAAGAAGCACCGGCUAAUUUCGUGCCAGCAGCCGCGGUAAUACGAAAGGUGCAAGCGUUGUUCGGAUUUACUGGGCGUAAAGAGAUCGUAGGUGGUUUGUUAAGUUGGAUGUGAAAUCCCGGGGCUCAACCUCGGAACUGCAUCCAAAACUGACAGACUUGAGUUCGGGAGGGGUAAGCGGAAUUCCGUGUGUAGCAGUGAAAUGCGUAGAUAUACGGAGGAACACCUGAGGCGAAGGCGGCUUACUGGACCGAAAUUGACACUGAGGAUCGAAAGCGUGGGUAGCAAACAGGAUUAGAUACCCUGGUAGUCCACGCCCUAAACGAUGUCAACUAGCCGUUGCGGGUAUCGACCCCUGCAGUGGCGCAGCUAACGCGAUAAGUUGACCGCCUGGGGAGUACGGUCGCAAGAUUA
Molecule: ribosomal RNA, 894 nt
Filed under: uncultured Zetaproteobacteria bacterium
Lineage: Bacteria; Pseudomonadati; Pseudomonadota; Candidatius Mariprofundia
Description: bacterial SSU rRNA
Rfam family: Bacterial small subunit ribosomal RNA
Source: RNAcentral